This 385-nucleotide ribosomal RNA is filed under the name Pseudophasma sp. WS128. Its description in RNAcentral is "partial 12S ribosomal RNA". The record is from RNAcentral. Lineage: Eukaryota; Metazoa; Arthropoda; Insecta; Phasmatodea; Pseudophasmatidae.
AACUAGGAUUAGAUACCCUAUUAUUUUGAGUGUCAAUUUUCCAGGGUAGUAAUAGUUAUAUUCUUUAAACCUAAAGAAUUUGGCGGUGUUUUAGUCUAUUUAGAGGAACUUGUCCCAUGAUCGAUAGUCCUCGUUUUAUCUUUCUUUUUCUUGUUAUCAGUAUGUAUACCGCCGUUAUAAGUUUAUUUUUUUAGAAUAUUAAUUUACUUGAAAAAUUAUUUUUUUUAAUUUCAGGUCAAGGUGCAGUUUAUGAUUAAGAGGAGAUGAGUUACAUUAUUAUAUUAAUAUAUGAAUUUUUAUUUUAAAACUUAAAAUGAAAGCGGAUUUAUUAGUAAUUUUAAUUAUUAAAUUAUUUUGAUUAUAGCUCUAAAAUAAGUACACAUCG